UACGGAGGGGGCUAGCGUUGUUCGGAAUUACUGGGCGUAGAGCGCACGCAGGCGGUCUGCUAAGUUUGGAGUGACAGUUGGUGGCUUAACUGCCAAAGUGCUUCGAAAACUGACAGACUUGAGGGCUUCAGAGGGACACGGAAUUCCGGGUGGAGUGGUGAAAUGCGUAGAGAUCCGGAGGAACACCAAAGGCGAAGGCAGUGUCCUGGGGAGUACCUGACGCUCAGGUGCGAAAGCCAGGGGAGCGAACGGG
RNAcentral lists this ribosomal RNA (253 nucleotides) under uncultured bacterium. Its description in RNAcentral is "partial 16S ribosomal RNA". It matches the Rfam family "Bacterial small subunit ribosomal RNA", at positions 524 to 776 of the family's 1533-position model. The record is from RNAcentral.